CAAAAUUAAGGUGGUACCUAACACUACAGGGAGAUAACUCUGUAGAGUCAGCUAAACGUUUUAAUUACGUUGUGUUGUAAAAGGAAUAUUAAGCUUCUCAAUGAUCAAAAUUGGUGUUUGUCAAAUUGCUAUAUAACCAGUGUAUUUUUUCUGACAAAACUGUUGGUUCAAAAUUUUUAAAAUUUUUAUAUUUUUAUUAAA
Molecule: long non-coding RNA, 201 nt
Filed under: Mytilus galloprovincialis (Mediterranean mussel)
Lineage: Eukaryota; Metazoa; Mollusca; Bivalvia; Mytilida; Mytilidae
Source: RNAcentral